RNAcentral lists this ribosomal RNA (723 nucleotides) under uncultured eukaryote. RNAcentral's name for it is "bacterial SSU rRNA". It matches the Rfam family "Eukaryotic small subunit ribosomal RNA", at positions 677 to 1426 of the family's 1831-position model. The record is from RNAcentral.
CCAUGUUGGUUCUAGAUCCUCAUCUGCUGGACGUCUGGCGAUGAUCUUUAUCGGUCGUCGUCAAUUGCCAGCACGUUUACAUUGGCAAAAUUCUAUUGCUAAAAGCAGGCUCACGCCUAUCUAUACUGCAUGGAAUAAUGAAAUAACAUCUCACUUUUAUUUCGAUGGUUUUAGAAAUUGAGAUGCUGAUUAAUAGGAUCACAGGGGGGCAUACUUACUGAGGUGUGAGAGGUGAAAUUCUGGGAUCGCCACUGGACGAAAAGUCUUCAAGGCGUUCGCCAAGAAUGUUUUCAUUAAUCAGCAACGAAAGUUUGAGGUUCUAAUACCAUUAAAUACCGUCCUAUUUCAAACAAUAAACGUUGCCUACUGCCUGUCACAUGCCUUCAUUUAUAUGACUCUCCUCGCGUAUCUGGAGAAAUCUGAGUUUUUAGGUUACAGGGGAAGUAUGGUUGCGAAGGUCAAACUUAAAAGAAUUGACGGAAGGACACACAAGAAGUGGAGCCUGGAGCCUAAUUUGACUCAACACGGGACACCUUACUUGUCCCGGACACCGGAGGAUUGACAGAUGAGAGCUCUUUCUUGAUUAGGUGGGUGGUGGUGCAUGGUCGUUGGUAGUUCGUAGAGCGAUGAGUGAGAUUUAUUUUGAUAACGAACGAGAAUCGGGCUUACAAAAUAGUGUAAAGUUUGAAGGGACUUUUCCAGACUUCUUACCAGGAUAAGUGG